UUAGGUAACUGUGUUCUUAUUCGAUUUUCAGCUGAAAGGUUCGAUCUCAAUCACUUCAAAUGUGAUCAAAUUUCAGUAUGAACUUCCAGAAGGUACUAUAAGCAAUAUUUAAUAACACUCACUUUGAAUCAAAUAAGAAAUCUUCAAAAACAAAAGCCAAUAGUGGUGGAUAUUCAAACACACAUAAAAAUUCAGAUUUGGGAAGCUUACUCGAAGGUACUAUAUAAGCAAUAUUUUAUAGCACCCACAUCGAAUCAAACAAUAAAUCUUCAAAAUAAAAUUUCAAAUUUAGAAGCUUGAAGCUCAACAAUGGUGGGUCUUCAUACACACACAAAAAUCAUAAGGAAAGGAGGUAGAGCAAUAGCUUGGGUUGACCAUCUUAAUGAAGAUCGAUCUGGCAGAGAAGAAGUAGAUCCAUUCAAGUCCACUACCAGAUUUGGUACUUGUGGAUGAACUUACCAUGACUACACAGGAAGUGCACUGCAUGGUCCAGGCACCUCCUGGACCAGCUGCUUAAUCCUCCUAUCACGCACAUCUACAGAGAGGGGAACGAGGUGGCUGAUAGCUUAGCAAAAGCGGGGUGCAGCAUGGACUCUUCUACCACUACAACCAUUUUUGAACAACAACCAGAUUUUGUCAGCAUCUUUUUGCAAAUGGAUCAAGCAGGAGACACUCGCCUAAGGAAGACAACAGGGACACAACACCUACAAUGGGACAAACGACAACAAGUAGCAACUCCCUCUAGCGAUAAUGCACUGGAUAGCAGUGUUAGUUUUAGAGGCAGUAGUUUCUGUAUUGAUCAAACUAAUUUAAACUAUAACCUAGAUGCAACAACAUCGACCUCUCUGUAGCAACUUUUGUGAUUAAUGCAAUUAUCUU
This is a long non-coding RNA of Nicotiana attenuata, 879 nucleotides long. RefSeq lists it as uncharacterized. Lineage: Eukaryota; Viridiplantae; Streptophyta; Magnoliopsida; Solanales; Solanaceae. The transcript has 3 exons. The record is from RefSeq and is a predicted model, not a curated record.